This 411-nucleotide ribosomal RNA is filed under the name uncultured prokaryote. RNAcentral's name for it is "bacterial SSU rRNA". It matches the Rfam family "Bacterial small subunit ribosomal RNA", at positions 505 to 918 of the family's 1533-position model. The record is from RNAcentral.
GUGCCAGCAGCCGCGGUAAUACGGAGGAUGCAAGCGUUAUCCGGAUUUAUUGGGUUUAAAGGGUGCGUAGGCGGAACUAUAAGUCAGUGGUGAAAUCCUGCAGCUUAACUGUAGACUUGCCAUUGAUACUGUAGUUCUUGAGUGUGGUCAAGGGAGGCGGAAUGUGUAAUGUAGCGGUGAAAUGCUUAGAUAUUACACAGAACACCGAUUGCGAAGGCAGCUUUCUGGGCCAUUACUGACGCUGAUGCACGAAAGCGUGGGGAUCGAACAGGAUUAGAUACCCUGGUAGUCCACGCCGUAAACGAUGAUCACUAGCUGUUGGCGAUAUACAGUCAGCGGCAAAGCAAAAGCAUUAAGUGAUCCACCUGGGGAGUACGGCCGCAAGGCUGAAACUCAAAUGAAUUGACGGGG